This 85-nucleotide transfer RNA is filed under the name Felis catus (domestic cat). It matches the Rfam family "tRNA". From Rfam's summary of the family: Transfer RNA (tRNA) molecules are approximately 80 nucleotides in length. The record is from Rfam by way of RNAcentral. Lineage: Eukaryota; Metazoa; Chordata; Mammalia; Carnivora; Felidae.
GCCUGGGUGGCUCAGUCGGUUGAGCAUCUGACUUCAGCUCAGGUCACGAUCUCCCAGUCUGUGAGUUCGAGCCCCACGUUGGGCU